CUCUCUCCUAAUAUCUAAUUGGCUAUGCACACAAGCCCCGCCCACUCAAAGUUUCAUGUACCUCCUUUUGUCCAGUAUCGUUGUGAAACAACGAAUUGUCGUCCUUGUGUCCCCAUUGGCUGUCGGUGUUCAGGACACACUAAUCACACAGAUUGUUUUUUGUUUGUUUGUUUUUUUGUUUGUUUGUUUUAUAAAAACUAGAUUUGUAACAUGCAGCUUUUGGCAUAUUUUACUGAUUUAAAAAAUAUUCAACUUCCUCUAUAUGACCGAAAGAGAGAGAGAGAGAUUGUGUCAAUGUGUGUGUGUGUCUGUGUUUGUGUGUGUGUGUGUAUAUGUGUGUCCAUUCAUGGUGUUUAAUCAAAAAUAAUGAAUAAGUAUAAGUUUAGGAGAAAUGGCCAAGUUUAUAAACAUUACUUUUAACAUGUGAUUCAUACGACUCACCCGUCCGACUCAUACGAUUCAUCUGAAUGACUUAUACGACUCACUUUCCUGAUUCAUACGACUCACCCGUCCGACUCAUACGAUUCAUCUGAAUGACUUAUAUGACUCACUUUCCUGAUUCAUACGACUCACAUGUCUGACUCAUAUGACCCAUAAACUGACUCACACUGACAUAACCUGCCCAACUAACUUAUUCGAUUCAAUUGAAUGACUCAGGUGACACAAGGAGUUGAUUUUUUAAAACCUUGCUGACUGGCUGGAUUUAACUCGUGAGUCAUCUUUUAUUGACUCGUCCACAGUACAAAUCACUGACAAAGCCUUGUAUCACGCGCUAACCGACUCUUGGACCCAACUCAUGAACUUUAUAUUGACUUACUGACCUGUCGUGGGAUUGGAAGGCCAUUGGGGCAGUAGGUUACUGAUCACAGAUAAGGCUCUGGGUUACUGAUCAUAAGCUUCCACUUUUGGGCCCUUAAGCAAAAACCUCACAAACAAUGCUCCAAGGGCACUUCUGACCAUUUGCCCAGACCCUUCACCAUGGCCCCUCACCCGUACCCAUCAUCCUGACUUAAACAUAAUAUAUAUGAGUGAGCCAUGACAGACAACUGAUUCACUUGCCAGCUCACUUGAGUCACCAACUGACUCUUAAACAUGACUCCUACCCCAUUGACAAAUUCUCCUUAAUCGGAUCAGAAGUGCAGUGAAUUCUAGGAGGAAACAUAUUUAAUACUUUAUAUGACACACACACACACACACACACACACACACACACACACACACACACACACACACACACACACA
This is a long non-coding RNA of Silurus meridionalis, 1242 nucleotides long. RefSeq lists it as uncharacterized. The record is from RefSeq and is a predicted model, not a curated record. NCBI's taxonomy places the organism in Eukaryota, Metazoa, Chordata, Actinopteri, Siluriformes, Siluridae. The transcript has 2 exons.